This 72-nucleotide transfer RNA is filed under the name Chloroflexota bacterium. Its description in RNAcentral is "Chloroflexi bacterium tRNA-Ile". It matches the Rfam family "tRNA". From Rfam's summary of the family: Transfer RNA (tRNA) molecules are approximately 80 nucleotides in length. Their secondary structure includes four short double-helical elements and three loops (D, anti-codon, and T loops). The record is from RNAcentral. Lineage: Bacteria; Bacillati; Chloroflexota.
GGGCCGGUAGCUCAGUGGUAGAGCGGCAGACUCAUAAUCUGUUGGUCCCAGGUCCGAUCCCUGGCCGGCCCA